CUAGCGACAGGCCUAACACAUGCAAGUCAGGGGCAGCACAAGGAGCAAUCUGAGGUGGCGACCGGCGCACGGGUGAGUAACACGUAUGCAACCUGCCUGUAAGCGGGGAAUAACCCGUUGAAAGACGGACUAAUACCGCAUAAUACUAAAUUACUGCAUGGUAAUUUAUUUAAACAUUUAUGGCUUACAGAUGGGCAUGCGCAUGAUUAGCUAGUUGGAGAGGUAACGGCUCCCCAAGGCAACGAUCAUUAGGGGUUCUGAGAGGAAGGUCCCCACACUGGUACUGAGACACGGACCAGACUCCUACGGGAGGCAGCAGUGAGGAAUAUUGGUCAAUGGACGAGAGUCUGAACCAGCCAAGUCGCGUGCAGGAAGAAUGUCCUAAUGGAUUGUAAACUGCUUUUGCAGGGGAAUAAAGUGCAUCACGUGUGAUGUUUUGUAUGUACUCUGCGAAUAAGGAUCGGCUAACUCCGUGCCAGCAGCGGC
RNAcentral lists this ribosomal RNA (486 nucleotides) under uncultured bacterium. RNAcentral's name for it is "bacterial SSU rRNA". It matches the Rfam family "Bacterial small subunit ribosomal RNA", at positions 36 to 518 of the family's 1533-position model. The record is from RNAcentral.